This 483-nucleotide ribosomal RNA is filed under the name uncultured bacterium. Its description in RNAcentral is "bacterial SSU rRNA". It matches the Rfam family "Bacterial small subunit ribosomal RNA", at positions 28 to 532 of the family's 1533-position model. The record is from RNAcentral.
GACGAACGCUGGCGGCGUGCCUGACACAUGCAAGUCGGACGGUUCUUGUAUCUUCAAGCUUGCUUGCAGGUGCAAGGAUAGUGGCGCACGGGUGAGUAACGCGUGGGAACGUGCCCUUCAGUACGGGACAACGUCGGGAAACUGACGCUAAUACCGUAUAAUAUCUCCGGAUCAAAGAUUUAUCGCUGAAGGAUCGGCCCGCGUCUGAUUAGUUUGUUGGUGAGGUAACGGCUCACCAAGACUACGAUCAGUAGCUGGUCUGAGAGGAUGAUCAGCCACACUGGGACUGAGACACGGCCCAGACUCCUACGGGAGGCAGCAGUUAGGAAUAUUGGACAAUGGGGGAAACCCUGAUCCAGCCAUGCCGCGUGUGUGAUGAAGGCCUUAGGGUUGUAAAGCACUUUCGUUGGGGAUGAUAAUGACCGUACCCAAAGAAGAAGCCACGGCUAAAUUCGUGCCAGCAGCCGCGGUAAUACGUAGCGU